Molecule: ribosomal RNA, 497 nt
Filed under: uncultured bacterium
Lineage: Bacteria
Description: partial 16S ribosomal RNA
Rfam family: Bacterial small subunit ribosomal RNA
Source: RNAcentral
GAUGAACGCUGGCGGCGUGCCUAAUACAUGCAAGUCGAGCGAACAGAUAAGGAGCUUGCUCCUUUGACGUUAGCGGCGGACGGGUGAGUAACACGUGGAUAACCUACCUAUAAGACUGGGAUAACUUCGGGAAACCGGAGCUAAUACCGGAUAACAUAUUGAACCGCAUGGUUCAAUAGUGAAAGGCGGCUUUGCUGUCACUUAUAGAUGGAUCCGCGCCGCAUUAGCUAGUUGGUAAGGUAACGGCUUACCAAGGCAACGAUACGUAGCCGACCUGAGAGGGUGAUCGGCCACACUGGAACUGAGACACGGUCCAGACUCCUACGGGAGGCAGCAGUAGGGAAUCCUCCGCAAUGGGCGAAAGCCUGACGGAGCAACGCCGCGUGAGUGAUGAAGGUCUUCGGAUCGUAAAACUCUGUUAUCAGGGAAGAACAAAUGUGUAAGUAACUGUGCACAUCUUGACGGUACCUGAUCAGAAAGCCACGGCUAACUACGUG